ACUCAAAUGAAUAGACGGGGGCUUGCACAAGCGGUGGAGCGUGUGGCUUAAUUCGUCGCUAAACGAAGAACCUUACCAGGUCUAGAAAUCCUACUGCACGCCUCGGGAAACCGAGGAAGCCUUCGAGGGUGUAGGACAGGUGAUGCAUGGCUGUCGUCAGUUCGUGGUUUGAACCGUUCCCUUCAGUGGGGUAACGAACGCAACCCUCGUUGCCAGUUACAAGUGUCUGGCGAGACUGCCCCCUCACGGGGGAGGAAGGUGAGGAUGACGCCAAGUCAGCAUGUCCCUCUGAUGACCUGGGCUGCACACGCGCUACAAUCGCCGUUACAAAGGGACGCAAUAUGGCAACAUGGAGCAAAUCCCAAAAAGCGGCGCCAGUUCGGAUUGAGGUCUGCAACCCGACCUCAUGAAGCCGGAAUCGCUAGUAAUCGUGGGUCAGCUAUACCACGGUGAAUACGUUCUCAAGCCUUGUACACACCGCCCGU
This 485-nucleotide ribosomal RNA is filed under the name uncultured bacterium. RNAcentral describes it as "partial 16S ribosomal RNA". It matches the Rfam family "Bacterial small subunit ribosomal RNA", at positions 899 to 1397 of the family's 1533-position model. The record is from RNAcentral.